This is a non-coding RNA of Paramuricea clavata, 260 nucleotides long. Lineage: Eukaryota; Metazoa; Cnidaria; Anthozoa; Malacalcyonacea; Plexauridae. The record is from the annotation of a GenBank genome assembly.
GUACUUUAGUAAUAAUAGGCUUUAGGCUGGUUUUCAUAUGCUUGUACAUGGCAAUAGUUGUCUCAGUAUAUAUAUACCACAGUUAUGAGUUAUGACCAACUAGUAGGGAUCUAACACUUAACUAAGUGUCCUAUCAUCUUAUUUAUUCCAUCACUUUUAUUUGUUUACUAUUUAAUUUGCAUUUUAUUGGAGACUUUGCAGAGCAUAUAUUUACCAUUUUACCUCAUUGUGAUGGCAGGGGUGGGUAAAAGAAUUAAUUU